ACUAGCCGCGGGACCGGCGGGCAGCGCCGGGCGUAAGUGGCCUCUUCUGCGAGGGAGGCCCGGGCGCCGCCUUUCCUCCAGCCGGGCGCAUUCAGGGGUCGCUUGCUCCGAUGACGAGCAGAACUAGGGCGGGGGUCGGAGGGUCAGAUCCCCGCUUUGGAAUGGAAAGCUCGCUUGGGGUUGCUGCACAUGUGGAGAAGGAGCCAGGACCUUUCCAGUCCCAUCCACGAUGUGACCUAAUGGUGUGGCCUUGAAUGUGUAUUUUUGCAAAAGAAAUGCUUCAGGGGGACUCGGAUGACGUGGGUCAGCUGGACCCAGGAUGUUGCCUUCGCUACGGUUGUCAUCUUCAGGGGUUGGACAUGAUUCUGCAGGAGUACCUUAUGCACAACAUCAGGGUUACGUGGAGACACUGGAAGGGCUUCCGGACACACAAACAUCACUGUAUCGUGACAUAUCACUAAAUCUAUUUGCUCAGACUGUGAAACUUUGCAGUAUCUAGGGAAUGAACAGAGAGAUGAUUCCAACAUUCAGAAAGGUUGGAGGGGAAGCAGUUUGGGUUGGUGUGGCAGCAACAGUUUUAGGAGUUCUGCCGUAGCAGCAGCAACUUCCAGAACAUUGCAAGGGAGUCUCUCUUGGACUGUGUGGUAUACCACAGUUGUGAUGGGCCAGUAUUGCCUAAGAAGGUUGUUGUUUUGAAACCCUGCCCCAUCAACAUUUCCUGCACGUGGAAAACUUUGCAUUUCAAUAAGGCUAGGCUAGGCGCCUUUUCCCUGUUCUGUUAGAUUCUGUCUUCUUUUAAAUAAAUAGAUUUCCUCUUGCAGGGAAAGUUAGAGGUGGGAAUGUUGUGAAACCAGUGCUUUCCCUGCCUCCCCCCACGUUCGGAGGUGUUCUUGGCCCAUGGGAACCCUCCUUUUCCUCGAUGUUUGGAAUCUGCUCUCCUUGUGACCCACAUAGACCAUAUAUGCCUGCUGUCGAUCAGAUGCACUUUUUGAAAUAUUUUCUGAUCCCAUUAUGCUUCAGGAAUUCAUUUCUUAUUCUCAAAAAGAAUGUCGCCUUUUAAAGAAGAAUCACAAAGUUUGAUUGUAUCUGCCAAGCAGUGUUAGGGGGGAAAGAAGGGUUUGUAAGUAUUUUUGUAAUUUUUGGAAAAGGGAAGGAGUCCUCUUGAUUAUCAUGUGUUGUUGUUUUUGGAACGUGUUGAAUUGAAACAAAACGAAAAAAAAGCAAUAUGCUGAGAACCAGCCUCUCUCAAGUAUGCAGGUCAGUAGAUUGAGAGUUUCGUAUAUUUAUUUAUACACUAUGAGGGAAUAAUGAUGGCCAGUGCUGAGAGCCAUGCUGAAAAUACAAGCCAGAGGGGCCCAGCUGAAUGUCCGUGUUUGAGUUGCCUGUAAUUAAGAUGCUUUGCAUUUAAUGAAUACAGUGAAUGCCAAACUACA
Molecule: long non-coding RNA, 1433 nt
Organism: Eublepharis macularius
Lineage: Eukaryota; Metazoa; Chordata; Lepidosauria; Squamata; Eublepharidae
Exons: 2
Source: RefSeq, a predicted model, not a curated record